UCAAUCAGUAAUAAAUAAAUAAAUAUAAUAAUAAUAAAACGGCAAAUAAUAAAAACUUAAGAAACCACAUAUAGUUGGUGGGUAGACAAAUGAUUUUUUUCGGAUUAAAAUGAACAAAGCAUUAUUAGAGCCCUGUAGACAUGACAAAACACGACUAUAGUCACAUUUAUACUCUUUUUUAAUUUACAACAUAUUGCGCAACUGCAGGGUCUUGAGACACAUGCUAACUCGCAAACGAGAGAGCUAGCGACCUAAACGGUAAGCCUUCAAGUUAUUUCCUUUCAACUUAAAUAGCCAAAAACUUACCACUUCCACACAGAUAGGGAGGAUAACUAUUAACAGUUUUUUAACCUUUAACAUGAACAUUAAUCAAAAGUAAUAAUUUUUUCUGGGUACAUGAUACCAUUUUUUAAAUGCUAAUCGCCGCCAAAAAGCAAAUAUACACAUAUAUUUUUUAAUGACUUUAAUACGGUGGAAAAUGUAAAACUAAUAAUAUUAUAAAGAGGGGGCAAAACUCAGGUGGAACCUUUGUCUCGGGAGCUGUUUUGCCAGGAUCGAAUUGGGGUCGUGGACUUCCGCCAACGCUCAGACCAAGAAGUUGCACUUCCGUGUCCUCACUGCUGAGGACGACUCAUAUCUCUUCUUACAGGAAUGGUGAUGGAGCCUAUCCCAGUUUCAGUCUUCAUGUGAGAGAGCUUCACCAUGGACUGAUCACCAGCCAAUCACAGAACACCCCACCAUCAAUCACACUUGUGUACGGUUCAGGAUGUUGAGAAGGCCUCACAGGAAACAGGGUGUGUAAAGUGGAAGGUGCUUGUCACUGCCGUACUUCCAUACGGAAGAAAAGCCAUCAAAAAGCCAUCAAUUAAAGAUGGAUAUUUCUGCUCUACUGAAUGAACGAAUGAAUUUGACUGCCCAAAUGGAGGAUUACAGACCCAGGUAUCAGAAUAAAAGAAGCCGCUCAGAAGCUAUUCGUGUACUCACAACAAGCGUCUCGACCCAUUGGAAGUCGAUGGAGAAACCAACCUGUUGGUUGCAAUCCUCACGGUGGAGGUGGGACCGCAUCAGGGAUCAAGUCCGAGCCCCCUUCUUGUUUGCUAUGGUGACGGACAGGCUGACAGAUGAGGUUAGACAAGAUUCUCCAUAGACUACGAUGGUAAUGGGUCGCGGGGGUGCUGGAGCCUAUCCCAGCUGUCUUCAGGGCGAGAGGCGGGGUACACCCUGGACUGGUGGCCAGCCAAUCACAGGGCACAUAUAGACAAACAACCAUUCAUACUCAUGAGGAAUUAUUUAUUAUUUAUUAUUAUUUUUGUUAUUAAUGAUGAUGUAUUAUUAUCAUUUAUUAUGAUUUAGUAUGAUUUAUUGUUUAUUAAUAUUUAUUAUUAUUUGUUAUUAUUGUGUUAUUAAUUAUGAGUUAUGAUUUAUUAUUGUUUAUUAUGAUUUAUUAUUAUUUAUUGUUGUUUAUUAUGAUGUAUUAUUAUUUAUUAUUACUAUUAUUGUUAUUAUUGUUAUUAUUGUUAUUAUUAAUUAUUAUUAUUUAUUUUUUGUGUGUGCUCCGGCAACUAAAAGAGUCCUUUGAACCUCGUCGGCGCGUCGGGAAGUGAAUACUCCAUCAACAGCGGCGUGCUGGAAAACCAGCGACCGGGUCGGCGGAAUCCUAGAUAAACAUAGUGGAGAUGCUGCCCGCUGUCAACAGGCACAUUCAUAGGCAGACAAUGGCGCUCUGAUCAGAACAAUGAUUAUCUGGGUCUUCUGCCCCCCCCCCCCCCCCCCCACCCCCACCCCCCUGUCAUUGGCAGCCCACUUUCUCCUAUCCCUAUCAUUUUAAUUAAUUGUGUGAUAUUUCCAGAAGUCUGGCUUGUAUGGAAGCCUAAUGAGAGAGCUCAUCAAAAGACACACAAGCCGGCUGGCAUGAUGUAGUGUACUUUUUAGCCUUCAAGCCAAUUACUUGCUUUUCUUCGUUUCUCAUCAUCAUAGCGUCCGGAACCACACACACAAUAAAAAAAUAAAUAAAAAAAAAAUCCUAGUUUGCCCAAGCAAAACUCGAUUUGGUGUUUUUUUUUUUUCUUUCAUUUAGUUCUUCCUUUGAGGUAAGAUUUUUUUUAUUUUUUUUUAUUUGUUUGUUUCCGCUGUUUUUGAUCUUGCGUACUGAUAGCCAUCUCAAUGACUUUAAUCAGCCAUCCAUCAAUGUGACAAUGCUGUGAAAAAUAAAGGUUUCCAGGCGCGAGCUAAUUAAUCUGCCUGCGCCUGUCUGCCCCGCACUGCUCAAUCAUGGGAGUAAAUAAAGGCAGUCAUGAAUGUAAUUGUUUGUUUUCUGUGCAUAGUUUUUUUGGGGGGGGCACCUUUUCAAGCCAAGGAGCUGUGGAAGUUGACCUUUCUCUUUCAUUUGCCAAAAGGUAUUGCACAAAAGCCAAUGAGGCAGCUGCAUACAUAAAUGUCAGCUUCCUGCAACGGUACGCUUAUGUAUGUGCAAUAUGCAUAAAAUGACAAUUCCUAUUCACAGGCUCUCUACAUCUGCGGUAGGAACAGAAGAUGGGGGUCCAGGAUGGUCAUGAGCGGUUCAUUGACUUGACUCCUUUGGAGUCCCUUCGCUCUGUCGUGGUAAUAAAUCAUGCAUUAUAUAAAUCAUGAGUGGUUGAACUACUAUAUGGUGCAUUUUUUGUAGCAUAAACAUGGAUAAAUGAACUAAACAAACAAAUAUCAA
Molecule: non-coding RNA, 2704 nt
Organism: Doryrhamphus excisus (bluestripe pipefish)
Lineage: Eukaryota; Metazoa; Chordata; Actinopteri; Syngnathiformes; Syngnathidae
Source: RefSeq, a predicted model, not a curated record